This 382-nucleotide ribosomal RNA is filed under the name uncultured bacterium. Its description in RNAcentral is "bacterial SSU rRNA". It matches the Rfam family "Bacterial small subunit ribosomal RNA", at positions 518 to 898 of the family's 1533-position model. The record is from RNAcentral.
CGGUAAUACGUAGGGUGCGAGCGUUAAUCGGAAUUACUGGGCGUAAAGCGUGCGCAGGCGGAUUGUUAAGCAAGAUGUGAAAUCCCCGGGCUUAACCUGGGAAUGGCAUUUUGAACUGGCAGUCUAGAGUGUGUCAGAGAGGGGUGGAAUUCCACGUGUAGCAGUGAAAUGCGUAGAUAUGUGGAGGAACACCAAUGGCGAAGGCAGCCCCCUGGGAUAACACUGACGCUCAUGUACGAAAGCGUGGGUAGCAAACAGGAUUAGAUACCCUGGUAGUCCACGCCCUAAACGAUGUCAACUGGUUGUUGGGGGAGUGAAAUCCCUUAGUAACGAAGCUAACGCGUGAAGUUGACCGCCUGGGGAGUACGGUCGCAAGAUUAAA